This 427-nucleotide ribosomal RNA is filed under the name Reticulitermes virginicus (dark southern subterranean termite). RNAcentral describes it as "partial 16S ribosomal RNA". The record is from RNAcentral. Lineage: Eukaryota; Metazoa; Arthropoda; Insecta; Blattodea; Rhinotermitidae.
CGCCUGUUUAUCAAAAACAUCUUUUCUUGUUAGUUUUUGAAGUAUGGCCNGCCCGCUGACNUUAGUGUUGAAGGGCCGCGGUAUUUUGACCGUGCAAAGGUAGCAUAGUCAUUAGUUCUUUAAUUGUGAUCUGGUAUGAAUGGCUUGACGAGGCAUGGGCUGUCUUAAUUUUGAAUUGUUUAUUGAAUUUGGUCUUUGAGUUAAAAUUCUUAGAUGUUUUUAUGGGACGAGAAGACCCUAUAGAGUUUGACAUUUAUUAUGGUCUCUUUCUUGUUUGUGAGGGUUUACUAGGCCGUUUAAUGUGUUUUGUUGGGGUGAUGGGAGGGAUAUAAUUUAACCCCUCCUUUGUGUUGUUAUAUUUAUUUAUAUUUGUUUGAUCCAUUUAUUUUGAUUGUAAGAUUAAAUUACCUUAGGGAUAACAGCGUAA